This 347-nucleotide unclassified non-coding RNA is filed under the name uncultured fungus. Its description in RNAcentral is "partial contains small subunit ribosomal RNA, internal transcribed spacer 1, and 5.8S ribosomal RNA". The stretch from base 1 to 73 matches the Rfam family "Eukaryotic small subunit ribosomal RNA", at positions 1759 to 1831 of the family's 1831-position model. The record is from RNAcentral. Lineage: Eukaryota; Fungi.
UCAAACUUGGUCAUUUAGAGGAAGUAAAAGUCGUAACAAGGUUUCCGUAGGUGAACCUGCGGAAGGAUCAUUAAUGGGUUUUAGCUUGUGAAGGGCUGUAGCUGGCCAGUGGCAUGUGCACGCCUGGAUCAUACACAAUCCACCUCUCUCUCACACCUGUGCACAGCUGUAGCUUUAUAGGUGGGACUGCGAAACUCCUUUGUAAUCGCAGGCUGCCUGUUUGGCUACGUACUUUUUUACUACACACACCCUUUGUGAUUUAAAGUUCUUUUGAAAUGUCGAUUGUGCGAAAUAUAACAACUUUCAGCAACGGAUCUCUUGGCUCUCGCAUCGAUGAAGAACGCAGC